Molecule: ribosomal RNA, 484 nt
Filed under: uncultured bacterium
Lineage: Bacteria
Description: partial 16S ribosomal RNA
Rfam family: Bacterial small subunit ribosomal RNA
Source: RNAcentral
GACGAACGCUGGCGGCGUGCUUAACACAUGCAAGUCGAACGAUGAAGCCGGAGCUUGCUCUGGUGAAUUAGUGGCGAACGGGUGAGUAACACGUGAGUAACCUGCCCUUGACUCUGGGAUAACUGCGGGAAACUGUAGCUAAUACCGGAUACGACCCUCGGAGGCAUCGCCAGGGGGUGGAAAGAAUUUCGGUCAAGGAUGGACUCGCGGCCUAUCAGCUAGUUGGUGAGGUAACGGCUCACUAAGGCGACGACGGGUAGCCGGCCGGAGAGGGUGACCGGCCACACUGGGACUGGGACACGGCCCAGACUACUACGAGAGGCAGCAGUGGGGAAUAUUGCACAAUGGGCGCACGCCUGAUGCCGCAACGCCGCGUGAGGGAUGACGGCCUUCGGGUUGUAAACCUCUUUUAGUAGGGAAGAAGCGAAAGUGACGGUACCUGCAGAAAAUGCACCGGCCAACUACGUGCCAGCAGCCGCAGUAA